CAAGAAUGUAGCCACAAGGAAGUGAAGAUUGAUUUGAGCAUCUGAUGGGGUGCUAUGGUAUGAAUCAGAUUGUGAGCGGCUUGGGGACAGGACUACAAACAUUUAGACAAAGUGCUGUAAACUGCUCUAAACCUACUGGAUUGAGUGGGAUAUGAAACAAGCAAGCAAAUAACCAAAUAAAUAUAUACAUAGAAGCAGAGGAAGCCUAUUUAUCACCACUCCAACCGGUACAGAACUCUAAAUUUCAUACCUGCCAAGGAGACCAAGAAGAUGAG
Molecule: long non-coding RNA, 275 nt
Organism: Rhineura floridana
Lineage: Eukaryota; Metazoa; Chordata; Lepidosauria; Squamata; Rhineuridae
Exons: 3
Source: RefSeq, a predicted model, not a curated record